RNAcentral lists this ribosomal RNA (246 nucleotides) under uncultured Lactobacillus sp. Its description in RNAcentral is "partial 16S ribosomal RNA". It matches the Rfam family "Bacterial small subunit ribosomal RNA", at positions 116 to 355 of the family's 1533-position model. The record is from RNAcentral. Lineage: Bacteria; Bacillati; Bacillota; Bacilli; Lactobacillales; Lactobacillaceae.
CGNGGGUAACCUGCCCAAGAGAUCGGGAUAACACCUGGAAACAGAUGCUAAUACCGGAUAACAACAGAUGAUGCCUAUCAACUGUUUAAAAGAUGGUCCUGCUAUCACUCUUGGAUGGACCUGCGGUGCAUUAGCUAGUUGGUAGGGUAACGGCCUACCAAGGCGAUGAUGCAUAGCCGAGUUGAGAGACUGAUCGGCCACAUUGGGACUGAGACACGGCCCAAACUCCUACGGGAGGCAGCAGCC